This 627-nucleotide ribosomal RNA is filed under the name Sanguibacter sp. Ri2Ps_5112. Its description in RNAcentral is "bacterial SSU rRNA". It matches the Rfam family "Bacterial small subunit ribosomal RNA", at positions 387 to 1022 of the family's 1533-position model. Lineage: Bacteria; Bacillati; Actinomycetota; Actinomycetes; Micrococcales; Sanguibacteraceae. The record is from RNAcentral.
UGCAGCGACGCCGCGUGGGGGAUGAAGGCCUAUCGGGUUGUAAACCCCUUUCAGCAGGGAAGAAGCGAGAGUGACGGUACCUGCAGAAGAAGCGCCGGCUAACUACGUGCCAGCAGCCGCGGUAAUACGUAGGGCGCAAGCGUUGUCCGGAAUUAUUGGGCGUAAAGAGCUCGUAGGCGGUUUGUCGCGUCUGGUGUGAAAACUCAAGGCUCAACCUUGAGCUUGCACCGGGUACGGGCAGACUAGAGUGCGGUAGGGGUGACUGGAAUUCCUGGUGUAGCGGUGGAAUGCGCAGAUAUCAGGAGGAACACCGAUGGCGAAGGCAGGUCACUGGGCCGCAACUGACGCUGAGGAGCGAAAGCAUGGGGAGCGAACAGGAUUAGAUACCCUGGUAGUCCAUGCCGUAAACGUUGGGCACUAGGUGUGGGGCUCAUUCCACGAGUUCCGUGCCGCAGCAAACGCAUUAAGUGCCCCGCCUGGGGAGUACGGCCGCAAGGCUAAAACUCAAAGGAAUUGACGGGGGCCCGCACAAGCGGCGGAGCAUGCGGAUUAAUUCGAUGCAACGCGAAGAACCUUACCAAGGCUUGACAUACACCGGAAUCAUGCAGAGAUGUGUGCGUCUUCGGA